This is a long non-coding RNA of Dermacentor silvarum, 4132 nucleotides long. RefSeq lists it as uncharacterized. NCBI's taxonomy places the organism in Eukaryota, Metazoa, Arthropoda, Arachnida, Ixodida, Ixodidae. The record is from RefSeq and is a predicted model, not a curated record. The transcript is spliced from 3 exons.
AGGGGAUGACAAAAUGAGGACAGUGCACUGAGUUACGGGAUUAAGGAAGUCUCGCGUUGGGUUUAACCUGUCGACUAGUGGUCUUUAUAGACCUAUUCGCAGUGGCGACAGGGCUUUCGGUGUGUACUCAAGCAUUGACUUUUGCCCCUGGCAGGGCCAAGCACUGCGCUGACAACGUGGAACGUUGAGUAUAUAGAACGAGCGACAACUUACGCUUGGCAACAGCGCUGCUUGCAUUUAGAGCUCGCUUAUCGCAGCAGGCAUAUAACCGCUCGCAGUGUGCAUCUCGACGCGGCCUGUUAACGCGCGGAAACCCGUAGGAAAGAAGCAAAAUGAGGUGCAGUUAUCAGUCAUGCGUAUACUCGGGUCAACGCAUGUGGGUUGAUUCGCCAGGAACGCUCGAAAAAAAAAAAAGUUUUUACGAUGCGAUACGUAUACGCGGAUAGUUGAAUGCGUCGUCAUCUUUUUAUGCACGGAGACAGAACGAAGCGCCAUUUGAAUGCGACGAAAUGAGUGGGUGUAUAGGGACGUUUCGUGCGUAGCUUUCGGAAUUGCUCAGAUAGCUCGGACGGCCUUCGGUGAUGGUGAGGUGGCUUCUCGUUCUGUUUAACCGUUAUUUCGCUAUAACGGCGCACUUUCUCAGCUUACUGCCGAGUCCUGGGUCCCCUGUGCUGCUUUCUUUGCAGAUUUCUCUUCUUCUUUUCUGCUCCAAGUCCUGACGGCAUCGUUAAUUGCAUGCUUAAUUCGGUGAAAAUGAGAUUCAGCGAGGAGGUCUCGAAAAAAAAAAAAAGCGACCUUAUACGGGGUCAGGAAACGAAAGAAAGAGAGAGAGAAAUGAAUGCAUAAAAGGAAAACGGCGGGGAGUCAGCGCGCUUUGGCAGUUGUGACAAAUGUCGCGCGUUCGGAAAGGCGCGCGCUCAUGGUUCACUCGCUCCACAGCCGCGCCGCGCCGCCAGUGAAAUUUUAUUUUUCUUUGCCGUUUCAACAUUUCCUGCUGCCAUUCCGGCGUACGUGUUCCCGAUCACAACGCCCGCCGCGGCCAUAGCUCGCGUGCCUUUCUAUUUCCUGCCCCCCCCCCCCCCCCCCCCCUCCUCUCGCACUGCAGUUGUAUGGCAACAACAGCAGCAGCAGCACCGGCAGUAGUAUAGUAGUAGUACCGGUUCUCCGCUUGGCGACGCUUUAUUUUGUCUUGCCGUGCAGCCGUUGCGAGGUUUAUGCACGCUUGUCGUGCGAGGAAUGUUCGUGGCGGGAUGAGGCUCGUGGCCGAUGGAGCGUGGAUUGACGCCCGCGUCUUCCAGCUUCACGCAGCACGCGGACCUCGCCGCCUUUUGUUCUGCGCGCCCGUGGCUCUGUAGAACGCGAGCAGUGGAGCGCACUGCGCGUGCUCGUUGACGUCAUUGCGCACGUGUCGGCGCGCCGAAGCGCGUACGAGUAUGUGCGAGUAUAUACGGGUCAUGAGAGAUGCGUAGCAGCUGUCGUGAAUAUCAACGACAAGACUGGAGGAGUAUCGAGACAUUCUGGGCGCGCGUAUUAUGUACUGACCGCGACAAAGCUAACGAGAACACCAGCUCCCGUUAGGCGUUGGACCGUGUUCGUCAGUUCGCGUGGCGUACAUACUCGCAGUCGCAACUCUCUCGACGAAGGCCUGUUAAACUUGGGCUGUGCGCAGUCUGUAUUCGCAACAGUCUGUAUUCGCAACUGUCGUGACGAAUGCCGAGUCAGAGACUUCCCUAUUGGUUUCGAUGCAUUGCGACGUCAAUCAAUACGAGAAUUGUGACUGAAAUGUUAAGUCGGUCUUGUGUUAAGCAACGCUGCAUCGGCAGUCGCUGGAACAGCCCGAGUCGCGCCAAAUGCCACGUGCGCUUGCGAGCGCGCAAUCAGUGAUGCCCUAGUCAGUUAUUUUGCUUUGUUCCCAUUUCAGGAUGUUUAUUGCACGCAGUGUUCAUUUUGGGUUUCGGACGUUAAAGAAACCCGCCGUGUCAAAAUUAAUCCGGAGCCUUCCACUACGGCGUGCCUCAUAAUCAGAAUUGGUUUUGGCACGUAAAACCCCAGAAAUAUAUUUGGUUUCGGAGAUGAAUUUAGUUCGUUAUAUCCAUUGGUAUAACAAUUUCACUCCGUUAAAACGAGGUUUUAAAUGCAUGAGUCUCUAUGGCGAUUUCAAGGGGAAUGUCAUUUACUUCGUUAUAUCCAUUAUUUCGUUAUAUCCCGUUUCGAGGUUCGAGUGUAUACAGUGCAGUGCGUCGCUGUGCGAGCAACUUAAUCUACGUGCAGAUCUGUAGGCGUCUUAUCUCACCAUUGUUGUUUCUGUGUCGUUUCUGUGUGUGUAUAUACACACACACAGACGUAAACAGGCACUAUUUACGUUGUUUAAGGCGCGUGGAUAAAUAGAAUUAGCUAUUGUAGUUAAGGCUAUUGGUUAACGAGAAAGUGGCAAUAAUUCCAGCACUGUACAGAGAAGUAGGAUGAAGUGGCUCUUGCGACUGCCGCCGUAAUUGAUCCUCGCGGCAUAUGCUCCGGAGAACGAUUACAGCGAUUGUAUUCCAGCAGGCGCAGCCAAGGAGAAACGGAAAAUAGGACUAUUGGCGGAACAUUUACACAAAUGGGGCAUUAUGAAUCAGAGGCUAAGUGACGCUCUAUAUAUAGUUGAGAUUAAAAAGGCAGAGUCGGGCAGGUAUGUAACCGUUGGCCUAUUGUGGGUAGAGUAUAAGAAAGGAUCGCGGGAUCGAAUCCCGGCCGCGGCGGCCGCAUUUCGAUGGAGGCGAAAUGCAAUAACGCCCGUGUGCUUGCGUUGUAGUGAUCGUUAAAGAAACCCAGGUGGUCAAAAUUAAUUCGGAGCCCUCCAAUACGGCGUGCCUCAUAUUCAGAACUGGUUUUGGCACGUAAAGCUCCAGAAGGAAGAGUAUAAGAAAGUGAUGGAUAACGGAACUGUAAAACUGUUUAGCUAUGCAUUCGCUGACACCUGAAGAUUAAGAAGGAAAAAGUGGGGGGGGGGGGGGGGGGGGGGGGGGUAGACAAAGACGAAAAAGACUGAUCACUACAAAUUUUCACCUUCCGGUCUCCGUGGGACUUGGAAGAGGGCAAAAAAGAAAUAAACAGAAACCAAAAUGAGGCCUUCCGGUUUGCUACCCCGCACUGGCGUGGGGGAAAUAGGAGUUGCAAAGACAGUGAAGAGAGAGAAUAUAAAAAAAGAAAGAAAAAAAAAGUAGGGCGGGUUCAGUUUUGGUGCAGUUGGCGCAGCUGUGCGAAAAAUCUUUGGCAGAAGCCUCUGUCGCGGCAGCUUAUACUCGUGUCUACGAUGACAAUAAUUCCGAGAGGUGAGCGUUCUCUCUCUCUCUCUCUCUCUCUCUGUUCUUUUCCGGUCUUGUAGAGCGUGAAGCCGUCCGGGAUGAAAGUCGUUGACGUUUGCGUGCGCUUUUUGAGCGAAGCUAUAGCUAUGCCUCCCGUUCUGCGCAGCGCGCGUUAUAAGGUUGCCUUGUUCUUUUUUUCCUGACGCUGAUGGAUUCCUCUGUUUUUGCCGCAGCCGUGUCGAAGUAAGCGCGUAGUUACAGUACAGGUUGCGCGCUUCGGCUGAGUCGGGUGACCUUCGAUCACCACGUGCAGUGUACGUAUGCCAAGGCUGUCCGGCAUUCCCCCCCCCCCCCCCCCCCCCGCCCUUUUCUUUAUUUAAAUCUUUUUAACCUAACUGUAUCGUACAUCGCUCUCCAUCCGUAACGCGUAAACACGUAAAAUCGCUUGACGAUCGAGAUUAGCGUAUACGGCUGCAAUCCUUUUUUAUAUUAGCAUAACGAUUUGGCGUUCGCCUGUACGUGCGUGGUACGUUAUGCGUUCCUGUUUGUCAUUUUCCUGAUAGUGUGCGCUCAUCUCUCGGGUGCCUUGUUCCUUCUCUUCACCGACUCGCUAGCAUUGUUUCUUUUUUCUAAGAGUUAUAUUUUGUUCGUCAGUAAGAGCAAAAUAUUCUUCAUAAACACACAUGUACAGCUAAGGAGGUCCCAUGGUCAGCUGGAAACCGAAGGGCGACCUCCUUUACAAUAAUGACAGCCAUAUAUGAAACGAUUCGUUGCUUGGACUACAGUUUUGGAGUUCAUUUCCUUUGGCAGUGAAUGUCGACUCUGAUUGAUUCAUCAUUGGCGUG